This is a long non-coding RNA of Puntigrus tetrazona (Sumatra barb), 271 nucleotides long. RefSeq lists it as uncharacterized. The transcript is spliced from 3 exons. Lineage: Eukaryota; Metazoa; Chordata; Actinopteri; Cypriniformes; Cyprinidae. The record is from RefSeq and is a predicted model, not a curated record.
CCCCUUCCAAAAUGUCAAAGAGUUCUUCGCGGAUCUCACCCAGACCUCAGGGGCUAUGGACGUCAGCCCUGUGGUGAGGGACAUCAUGAUGAAUCGAACCUUCACCAUCAUCAGUCUUCAUUUUGCCGACUUUGGGACCGAAGAUUGGGUGUCCUGGUUCACGGUGAAACUGAUCCAUCUCCUUCCCAGCCUGACUGCAGAGAUGCUCCAGACAGCAACGUUAAACACCGACUGCAACGAAUACCACCUCAUCGUUGGGGCUCUGAGCGCG